GACGAACGCUGGCGGCGCGCCUAACACAUGCAAGUCGAACGAGCGAGAGAGAGCUUGCUUUCUCGAGCGAGUGGCGAACGGGUGAGUAACGCGUGAGGAACCUGCCUCAAAGAGGGGGACAACAGUUGGAAACGACUGCUAAUACCGCAUAAGCCCACGACCCGGCAUCGGGUCGAGGGAAAAGGAGCAAUCCGCUUUGAGAUGGCCUCGCGUCCGAUUAGCUAGUUGGUGAGGUAACGGCCCACCCAGGCGACGACCGGUAGCCGGACUGAGAGGUUGAACGGCCACAUUGGGACUGAGACACGGCCCAGACUCCUACGGGAGGCAGCAGUGGGGAAUAUUGCACAAUGGGGGGAACCCUGAUGCAGCGACGCCGCGUGGAGGAAGAAGGUCUUCGGAUUGUAAACUCCUGUUGUUGAGGAAGAUAAUGACGGUACUCAACAAGGAAGUGACGGCUAACUACGUG
RNAcentral lists this ribosomal RNA (466 nucleotides) under uncultured bacterium. RNAcentral describes it as "partial 16S ribosomal RNA". It matches the Rfam family "Bacterial small subunit ribosomal RNA", at positions 28 to 507 of the family's 1533-position model. The record is from RNAcentral.